RNAcentral lists this ribosomal RNA (253 nucleotides) under uncultured bacterium. RNAcentral's name for it is "partial 16S ribosomal RNA". It matches the Rfam family "Bacterial small subunit ribosomal RNA", at positions 524 to 776 of the family's 1533-position model. The record is from RNAcentral.
CACGUAGGGUGCGAGCGUUGUCCGGAAUUAUUGGGCGUAAAGAGCUCGUAGGCGGUUUGUCGCGUUGUUCGUGAAAUCUCACGGCUUAACUGUGAGCGUGCGGGCGAUACGGGCAGACUGGAGUACUGCAGGGGAGACUGGAAUUCCUGGUGUAGCGGUGGGAUGCGCAGAUAUCAGGAGGAACACCGGUGGCGAAGGCGGGUCUCUGGGCAGUAACUGACGCUGAGGAGCGAAAGCGUGGGGAGCGAACAGG